UAAGGAAUAUUGGUCAAUGGGCGGAAGCCUGAACCAGCCAUGCCGCGUGCAGGAAGACGGCCCUACGGGUUGUAAACUGCUUUUGUACGGGAAUAACCCCUAUUAUGUAUAAUAGGUUGAAUGUACCGUAAGAAUAAGGAUCGGCUAACUCCGUGCCAGCAGCCGCGGUAAUACGGAGGAUCCGAGCGUUAUCCGGAAUUAUUGGGUUUAAAGGGUGCGUAGGCGGCCCGGUAAGUCAGGGGUGAAAGACGGUGGCUCAACCAUCGCAGUGCCUUUGAUACUGCCGGGCUUGAAUAUACUUGAGGUGGGCGGAAUGUGACAAGUAGCGGUGAAAUGCAUAGAUAUGUCACAGAACGCCGAUUGCGAAGGCAGCUCACUAAGGUAAGAUUGACGCUGAGGC
This 400-nucleotide ribosomal RNA is filed under the name uncultured bacterium. RNAcentral's name for it is "bacterial SSU rRNA". It matches the Rfam family "Bacterial small subunit ribosomal RNA", at positions 355 to 752 of the family's 1533-position model. The record is from RNAcentral.